RNAcentral lists this non-coding RNA (30 nucleotides) under Mus musculus (house mouse). Lineage: Eukaryota; Metazoa; Chordata; Mammalia; Rodentia; Muridae. The record is from RNAcentral.
UCCUGAUAGAAUGUAGCCUCUGACCGGGAA